RNAcentral lists this long non-coding RNA (221 nucleotides) under Lathyrus oleraceus (garden pea). RNAcentral describes it as "Pisum sativum (pea) long non-coding RNA (PSAT_LNC035212)". The record is from RNAcentral. Lineage: Eukaryota; Viridiplantae; Streptophyta; Magnoliopsida; Fabales; Fabaceae.
ACUUAGAAGUCAAGAAACAAAUAAAAUAUUUUUGGUAUUUUUUCAAAAUUAAAAUAAUACUUGAAUUAAAAUGAAAAAGAAAGGUCAAACUUUAAAUCCAUUUCAAAUCAACUUUGAAAAGUCCAAUGGAUCAUCCUAAGUUCAACAAAGUCAAACAAAGUUUGACAAAAAGUUUCAGCAUUUUUAGAAACCAGAAACUAUUUUUUAUCAAUUAAAAAUGC